Molecule: ribosomal RNA, 301 nt
Filed under: uncultured bacterium
Lineage: Bacteria
Description: partial 16S ribosomal RNA
Rfam family: Bacterial small subunit ribosomal RNA
Source: RNAcentral
CAGCAGCCGCGGGAAUACGGGGGGAGCUAGCGUUAUUCGGAAUUACUGGGCGUAAAGCGCACGUAGGCGGCUUUGUAAGUAAGAGGUGAAAGCCCAGAGCUCAACUCUGGAAUUGCCUUUUAGACUGCAUCGCUUGAAUCAAGGAGAGGUCAGUGGAAUUCCGAGUGUAGAGGUGAAAUUCGUAGAUAUUCGGAAGAACGCCAGUGGCGAAGGCGGCUGACUGGACAUGUAUUGACGCUGAGGUGCGAAAGCGUGGGGAGCAAACAGGAUUAGAUACCCCAGUAGCCCUGUCUCUUAUACA